AGAACGAACGCUGGCGGCAUGCCUAAUACAUGCAAGUCGAACGAACACUUCGGUGUUAGUGGCGCACGGGUGCGUAACGCGUGGGAAUCUGCCCUUGGGUUCGGAAUAACAGUUGGAAACGACUGCUAAUACCGGAUGAUAUCGAAAGAUCAAAGAUUUAUCGCCCAGGGAUGAGCCCGCGUAGGAUUAGCUAGUUGGUGAGGUAAAGGCUCACCAAGGCGACGAUCCUUAGCUGGUCUGAGAGGAUGAUCAGCCACACUGGGACUGAGACACGGCCCAGACUCCUACGGGAGGCAGCAGUAGGGAAUAUUGGACAAUGGGCGCAAGCCUGAUCCAGCAAUGCCGCGUGAGUGAUGAAGGCCUUAGGGUUGUAAAGCUCUUUACCCGAGAUGAUAAUGACAGUAUCGGAGAAUAAGCCCCGGCUAACUCCGCGCCAGCAGCCGAC
This 445-nucleotide ribosomal RNA is filed under the name uncultured soil bacterium. Its description in RNAcentral is "bacterial SSU rRNA". It matches the Rfam family "Bacterial small subunit ribosomal RNA", at positions 26 to 518 of the family's 1533-position model. The record is from RNAcentral.